RNAcentral lists this ribosomal RNA (253 nucleotides) under uncultured bacterium. RNAcentral describes it as "partial 16S ribosomal RNA". It matches the Rfam family "Bacterial small subunit ribosomal RNA", at positions 524 to 776 of the family's 1533-position model. The record is from RNAcentral.
UACGUAGGGGGCAAGCGUUGUCCGGAAUCAUUGGGCGUAAAGCGCGCGUAGGCGGCCAGAUAAGUCCGGUGUGAAAGUCACAGGCUCAACCUGUGAAUGCCGCUGGAAACUGUCUGGCUUGAGUCCGGUAGGGGCGAGUGGAAUUCCUGGUGUAGCGGUGAAAUGCGCAGAUAUCAGGAGGAACACCAAUGGCGAAGGCAGCUCGCUGGAACGGUACUGACGCUGAGGCGCGAAGGCGUGGGGAGCGAACAGG